GUUUUAUUUUAAUUAAUUAUUUUAUGUAUUUUAGGGGCAUCAUGGUCAUUUCACAAUGAAAAAGAAAUCAUAUAGCAAAACGGACAACAAUUCUGAUCUCAGGACAGUCGAAAACCUUAGGAGAAGCAUAAAAUGAUAAACGGCACUGUUCACAUAUACGAUAGUGUUCAUGGUACUGCUCACGACACUGUUCACAUAUACGAACCAAUGACGUGGCAUUGACCGAUGAUGUGUCACGAUCCUAUUGGACUAAAAUAUUGAGGUGGAGUUGACCGGUGACGUGGCAGUAUGUUAAUGGACCGGAAAAAUGCACGUACGGUACAUGCACAUACACAGAAUGACAGCCCUGAUGAUGUGUUCUAUCCAAUCAGAACUUGCCAUGUGUCGCAAUCCUAAGUGUCCAAAUUAUUUUAAUCUGAUGGCCAUGAUUUACUCAUUGUAUCUAUAAAUAGGGG
Molecule: long non-coding RNA, 455 nt
Filed under: Citrus x clementina
Lineage: Eukaryota; Viridiplantae; Streptophyta; Magnoliopsida; Sapindales; Rutaceae
Description: Citrus clementina (C. clementina) long non-coding RNA (CCLE_LNC005499)
Source: RNAcentral